RNAcentral lists this ribosomal RNA (844 nucleotides) under uncultured Actinomycetales bacterium. RNAcentral describes it as "bacterial SSU rRNA". It matches the Rfam family "Bacterial small subunit ribosomal RNA", at positions 45 to 902 of the family's 1533-position model. The record is from RNAcentral. Lineage: Bacteria; Bacillati; Actinomycetota; Actinomycetes; Actinomycetales.
UGCCUAACACAUGCAAGUCGAGCGGUAAGGCUCCUUCGGGAGUACACGAGCGGCGAACGGGUGAGUAACACGUGAGCAAUCUGCCCUUCUCAUCGGAAUAACCAUUGGAAACGAUGGCUAAUGCCGAAUAUGACUUCGAACCGCAUGGUCUGAAGUGGAAAGCUCCGGCGGAGAAGGAUGAGCUCGCGGCCUAUCAGCUUGUUGGUGAGGUAAUGGCUCACCAAGGCAUUGACGGGUAGCCGGCCUGAGAGGGUGACCGGCCACACUGGGACUGAGACACGGCCCAGACUCCUACGGGAGGCAGCAGUGGGGAAUAUUGGACAAUGGGCGAAAGCCUGAUCCAGCAACGCCGCGUGAGGGAUGACGGCCUUCGGGUUGUAAACCUCUUUCAGCAGGGACGAAGCGAAAGUGACGGUACCUGCAGAAGAAGGACCGGCCAACUACGUGCCAGCAGCCGCGGUAAUACGUAGGGCGCAAGCGUUGUCCGGAAUUAUUGGGCGUAAAGAGCUCGUAGGCGGCUUGUCACGUCGGCUGUGAAAGCCCGGGGCUUAACCCCGGGUCUGCAGUCGAUACGGGCAGGCUAGAGUGUGGUAGGGGAGAUCGGAAUUCCUGGUGUAGCGGUGAAAUGCGCAGAUAUCAGGAGGAACACCGGUGGCGAAGGCGGGUCUCUGGGCCAUUACUGACGCUGAGGAGCGAAAGCGUGGGGAGCGAACAGGAUUAGAUACCCUGGUAGUCCACGCCGUANACGGUGGGAACUAGGUGUUGGCGACAUUCCACGUCGUCGGUGCCGCAGCUAACGCAUUAAGUUCCCCGCCUGGGGAGUACGGCCGCAAGGCUAAAACUC